This 310-nucleotide ribosomal RNA is filed under the name uncultured eukaryote. RNAcentral's name for it is "partial 18S ribosomal RNA". It matches the Rfam family "Eukaryotic small subunit ribosomal RNA", at positions 1470 to 1796 of the family's 1831-position model. The record is from RNAcentral.
CCCUUAGAUGUUCUGGGCGGCCCGCGCACUACAAUGGCGCCUUCAGCGAGUUCCUAUGUUGAAUUUUCCUGGGUAUUCUUGGAAGCGGCGUCUUGACUUGGGAUAGAUCCUUGUAAUUGUUGGUUUUGAACGAGGAAUUCCUUGUAAUCGCGGUUGAUCAGCUCGCGUUGAAUACGUCCCUGCCCUUUGUACACACCGCCCGUCGCUCCUACCGAUGAAUCGUCCGGUGAAGUUCACAGAGUGGCGGUUCGUGGAGUUGCUCGCGAAGUGAAAUGGACCUCACGAUUUAGAGGAAGGAGAAGUCGUAACA